Oreochromis niloticus (Nile tilapia) is the source of this 1716-nucleotide long non-coding RNA. The record is from Ensembl. NCBI's taxonomy places the organism in Eukaryota, Metazoa, Chordata, Actinopteri, Cichliformes, Cichlidae.
CCCUUACCAAUAAUCCACUGCUCCUUGAAAAAAGUAGCACAAACACACAACUGACUCAGCAAUGAUGAGUAGAGCUACCCGAGGCCGAGAAUCAAGCAGAAGAAAAUUAAAUGUUGUUGCUUUUGUGGCUCGAAAAAUUAAAGAAAGUAUAUUUAAUAAUUCAACAAGACCCACACCUUCAACACAUGUACAUUCAAACUUUGGAACAGCCUCAACAAUGCUGCUGUUCCAAAGUCUGAAUGUACAUGUGUUGAAGGUGUGGGUCUUGUUGAAUUAUUAAAUAUACUUUCUUUAAUUUUUGUCGAAUGGACCCGAGCCGCUACCCCCAUGGCCUACUCUGAUUGACCCGCCCCACCGAUUGGAGGGUGCAUCAAAAUGCACCAAAGAAGACAUGGAUGAAACAAAUCCAGGAUGAUUUGAACGCCCUUCGACUUGACCUCGAGCAGGCAAGAACCAUCGCCUUAGAUCGGAAAGCGUGGAAGAUAAUCGUUGGUCAAGCAAGAGAACCUGCGGCACCUACAGCAGCGUACUGGUUGCACGGCAGACCACUGCCGCUGGUCGCCCGCUAAGGACAAGAAGAAGUGGUUUACGGCCAGUUCCCCCCCCUUCUUGUAGAUUUUCACCAGAUUUCUGAUGCUUACGCCCAGAAUCAUGUUACUGGGUUCUGGUUCAAUGUGAUCUAAUUACAGGUAUAAAGAGGCAAUUUUAAAUAUGUGAAUAUGCUAAGGGAAAACAGCACAUUAUGCCUUAAAACAACAAAACAAAUGCAUGAACACAAAAAACAAAUUGAAAAGGAUUAUGGGUAGCUUGAAGUCAUGAAGUCUAGGCUCAACUUCAGUCUCCUUGUUUUCUAAAAUCUUUUUAAUUAAUUGGCUUAUAGUCUCAUCUCAUUACCUUGAUUUGUACUUAAUGGUCUUAAGACUGCAAAUUUGCCAGGAAUGUCUUUAAACUGGCAUGAAGAGCCAAGCUCAAAAGUCAUCACGGUGCAGGAUGACAGGUUACUAAAACUCUGUCCAAUUAAAAAAAAAAAAAAAAAAAAAAAAAAGCACCUUAUAUAAACGAUAAGUGGCAGUAAUGAGCCUUCCUUUGGGAACCUGCAGUUGAAAAUGAAACAGUACCUUCAUUCUAUUCUGUAGGUGCAGGGGGGAUCGGCAUGCCUGCUUCAAGGGGAACACCUCCCCAGUAGUUGAGCUGAAAGAUGAAGUACCAUGGCCAGAUCCAGUGUAACUCUCUCUCCUCACCUACUGCUGCUCUACACGAAAAAUUUGACUAUAGAUCAAGAGAGUUCACAACAUCCAUUUACAACUGCACACCACUCACACAUCGUCCACAUAGCAGGGGUAGGGCAUCUGCUGGAUGUAGAUGCCAGUAGUCUGUCGAUCUCCGGUAAGCACUCGGCUCACCGGUCUCUCCACUAGGUCCUGAACUUACACGAAACCACCCCAAAUGUAACGCAUGUCACUGAAGGGGUCAGCAGCUGGACCCGGAUCCCAAAACCUGAAGUUGAAAGAAAUCAUGAAAUCAAGAAUUAAAGUGCUAGAGAAACCGUCCUAAGGUCUUCCUUGUUUCAUGAUGAGGCUGUCUCAGCAUGGUUAGUUUAAUUGCACAUUAAUUACAGCAUUAUCCAGAACAAACAAUAACAGCAGGAGCAGCCCUGUGUUUAACUGCUGUAAAGUGUUGGUUAAAAGGAACGUGCUACUGCUGAUAGUAAUGAGC